This 2988-nucleotide ribosomal RNA is filed under the name Salmonella sp. SJTUF14154. Its description in RNAcentral is "23S ribosomal RNA". It matches the Rfam family "Bacterial large subunit ribosomal RNA". Lineage: Bacteria; Pseudomonadati; Pseudomonadota; Gammaproteobacteria; Enterobacterales; Enterobacteriaceae. The record is from RNAcentral.
GGUUAAGCGACUAAGCGUACACGGUGGAUGCCCUGGCAGUCAGAGGCGAUGAAGGGCGUGCUAAUCUGCGAUAAGCGCCGGUAAGGUGAUAUGAACCGUUAUAACCGGCGAUACCCGAAUGGGGAAACCCAGUGUGAUUCGUCACACUAUCAUUAACUGAAUCCAUAGGUUAAUGAGGCGAACCGGGGGAACUGAAACAUCUAAGUACCCCGAGGAAAAGAAAUCAACCGAGAUUCCCCCAGUAGCGGCGAGCGAACGGGGAGGAGCCCAGAGCCUGAAUCAGCAUGUGUGUUAGUGGAAGCGUCUGGAAAGGCGCGCGAUACAGGGUGACAGCCCCGUACACAAAAGCGCAUGUGCUGUGAGCUCGAUGAGUAGGGCGGGACACGUGGUAUCCUGUCUGAAUAUGGGGGGACCAUCCUCCAAGGCUAAAUACUCCUGACUGACCGAUAGUGAACCAGUACCGUGAGGGAAAGGCGAAAAGAACCCCGGCGAGGGGAGUGAAAAAGAACCUGAAACCGUGUACGUACAAGCAGUGGGAGCACCCUUCGGGGUGUGACUGCGUACCUUUUGUAUAAUGGGUCAGCGACUUAUAUUCUGUAGCAAGGUUAACCGAAUAGGGGAGCCGGAGGGAAACCGAGUCUUAAUUGGGCGUUAAGUUGCAGGGUAUAGACCCGAAACCCGGUGAUCUAGCCAUGGGCAGGUUGAAGGUUGGGUAACACUAACUGGAGGACCGAACCGACUAAUGUUGAAAAAUUAGCGGAUGACCUGUGGCUGGGGGUGAAAGGCCAAUCAAACCGGGAGAUAGCUGGUUCUCCCCGAAAGCUAUUUAGGUAGCGCCUCGUGAAUUCAUCUCCGGGGGUAGAGCACUGUUUCGGCUAGGGGGUCAUCCCGACUUACCAACCCGAUGCAAACUGCGAAUACCGGAGAAUGUUAUCACGGGAGACACACGGCGGGUGCUAACGUCCGUCGUGAAGAGGGAAACAACCCAGACCGCCAGCUAAGGUCCCAAAGUCAUGGUUAAGUGGGAAACGAUGUGGGAAGGCCCAGACAGCCAGGAUGUUGGCUUAGAAGCAGCCAUCAUUUAAAGAAAGCGUAAUAGCUCACUGGUCGAGUCGGCCUGCGCGGAAGAUGUAACGGGGCUAAACCAUGCACCGAAGCUGCGGCAGCGAACGUAUCACCCAAGACAACUUUGCGGAGUUGACGAUUGACGGAGCGAAGCGACGUCAAAGCGUUCAUUAAAGUCGAGUUGGCUUAGGGAUACGUUCGUUGGGUAGGGGAGCGUUCUGUAAGCCUGUGAAGGUGUGCUGUGAGGCAUGCUGGAGGUAUCAGAAGUGCGAAUGCUGACAUAAGUAACGAUAAAGCGGGUGAAAAGCCCGCUCGCCGGAAGACCAAGGGUUCCUGUCCAACGUUAAUCGGGGCAGGGUGAGUCGACCCCUAAGGCGAGGCCGAAAGGCGUAGUCGAUGGGAAACGGGUUAAUAUUCCCGUACUUGGUGUUACUGCGAAGGGGGGACGGAGAAGGCUAUGUUGGCCGGGCGACGGUUGUCCCGGUUUAAGCGUGUAGGCUGGUUUUCCAGGCAAAUCCGGAAAAUCAAGGCUGAGGCGUGACGACGAGGCACUACGGUGCUGAAGCAACAAAUGCCCUGCUUCCAGGAAAAGCCUCUAAGCAUCAGGUAACAUCAAAUCGUACCCCAAACCGACACAGGUGGUCAGGUAGAGAAUACCAAGGCGCUUGAGAGAACUCGGGUGAAGGAACUAGGCAAAAUGGUGCCGUAACUUCGGGAGAAGGCACGCUGACAUGUAGGUGAAGUGAUUUACUCAUGGAGCUGAAGUCAGUCGAAGAUACCAGCUGGCUGCAACUGUUUAUUAAAAACACAGCACUGUGCAAACACGAAAGUGGACGUAUACGGUGUGACGCCUGCCCGGUGCCGGAAGGUUAAUUGAUGGGGUCAGCGCAAGCGAAGCUCCUGAUCGAAGCCCCGGUAAACGGCGGCCGUAACUAUAACGGUCCUAAGGUAGCGAAAUUCCUUGUCGGGUAAGUUCCGACCUGCACGAAUGGCGUAAUGAUGGCCAGGCUGUCUCCACCCGAGACUCAGUGAAAUUGAACUCGCUGUGAAGAUGCAGUGUACCCGCGGCAAGACGGAAAGACCCCGUGAACCUUUACUAUAGCUUGACACUGAACAUUGAGCCUUGAUGUGUAGGAUAGGUGGGAGGCUUUGAAGCGUGGACGCCAGUCUGCGUGGAGCCGACCUUGAAAUACCACCCUUUAAUGUUUGAUGUUCUAACGUGGACCCGUUACCCGGGUUGCGGACAGUGUCUGGUGGGUAGUUUGACUGGGGCGGUCUCCUCCUAAAGAGUAACGGAGGAGCACGAAGGUUGGCUAAUCCUGGUCGGACAUCAGGAGGUUAGUGCAAUGGCAUAAGCCAGCUUGACUGCGAGCGUGACGGCGCGAGCAGGUGCGAAAGCAGGUCAUAGUGAUCCGGUGGUUCUGAAUGGAAGGGCCAUCGCUCAACGGAUAAAAGGUACUCCGGGGAUAACAGGCUGAUACCGCCCAAGAGUUCAUAUCGACGGCGGUGUUUGGCACCUCGAUGUCGGCUCAUCACAUCCUGGGGCUGAAGUAGGUCCCAAGGGUAUGGCUGUUCGCCAUUUAAAGUGGUACGCGAGCUGGGUUUAGAACGUCGUGAGACAGUUCGGUCCCUAUCUGCCGUGGGCGCUGGAGAACUGAGGGGGGCUGCUCCUAGUACGAGAGGACCGGAGUGGACGCAUCACUGGUGUUCGGGUUGUCAUGCCAAUGGCACUGCCCGGUAGCUAAAUGCGGAAGAGAUAAGUGCUGAAAGCAUCUAAGCACGAAACUUGCCCCGAGAUGAGUUCUCCCUGAGACUUUAGGUCUCCUGAAGGAACGUUGAAGACGACGACGUUGAUAGGCCGGGUGUGUAAGCGCAGCGAUGCGUUGAGCUAACCGGUACUAAUGAACCGUGAGGCUUAACCUU